UGAAAAUUAACAAAUCAUACCAAGCAAGUGUUUCACUCAAUCACUCAAGUGUUUAAGGUGACACUCCAACUCUCUAUUGUUCACAAGUCACAUGAAACAAAAUUGCCAUUCAUCUCAAAUAAUCAACAUCCUUACUUGCAAAUGCCAUCAAAAGGACUUUUCCAAGGCUUGUAAUGAGGUUGGGCUAACAAGAAAGAAUUGGUUUUUCUAGAAUGCAAAAUCCUUGAGUCAAGAGAGCUAACAAAAUAUUCAACAUUUAAACAGAACUCUCUCACCAAUAUCUCUCAUUCCCAACUUCUUCCCUUUUCUUUUCUUUUUCAUUGAGCUCAUCUUCAUGCUUUUCUUCUUUUCUUUUCUUUUUCUCAUGAAUUUUUCUCUUUUCACAACAAUUGAGCUCAAUGCCUUUCACUUGCUUUUUCAAUUUUUCCCCCGUACAACCCCAAACUUGAACCUUUUCAUCACAUACAAUUAAGCUCAUCCCAACUCAAGGUAAAGAAUUUCAAAACAAGGGUUCACAUACUGUUUAAGGCUAAGGUUCAAAUAGGACAUAUUAUUUUCAAGCACUUUGGGUGAAAAUUUGGCUAGAGAAGGGUUUUCAACAAUGACCUUGAUCAUAUGACAUUUACAUGCAAUUCAAUCGAUCAUCAAGAUUAAGGCAAUAUCAUCCAUGUUUUCCUAUGAACAAUACAUGCAACAAUAAAAACUAUGGAGCUCAAAAUCUCACACACAUGCUUCCUCACACAAAAUUCAUUCAUACACCAUGCCUAGCAUCAUGACCACAAUCAUAAAUUCAUCACCCAUCUAUUUCCUGGAUAUCAUCAUGCUUUACAACUCAAUUUUCAUUCACAUCC
RNAcentral lists this long non-coding RNA (851 nucleotides) under Vigna radiata. RNAcentral describes it as "long non-coding RNA (VRAD_LNC001023)". The record is from RNAcentral. Lineage: Eukaryota; Viridiplantae; Streptophyta; Magnoliopsida; Fabales; Fabaceae.